This 2903-nucleotide ribosomal RNA is filed under the name Klebsiella pneumoniae subsp. pneumoniae. RNAcentral's name for it is "bacterial LSU rRNA". It matches the Rfam family "Bacterial large subunit ribosomal RNA". The record is from RNAcentral. Lineage: Bacteria; Pseudomonadati; Pseudomonadota; Gammaproteobacteria; Enterobacterales; Enterobacteriaceae.
UUAAGCGACUAAGCGUACACGGUGGAUGCCCUGGCAGUCAGAGGCGAUGAAGGACGUGCUAAUCUGCGAAAAGCGUCGGUAAGGUGAUAUGAACCGUUAUAACCGGCGAUGUCCGAAUGGGGAAACCCAGUGCAAUUCGUUGCACUAUCGUUAACUGAAUACAUAGGUUAACGAGGCGAACCGGGGGAACUGAAACAUCUAAGUACCCCGAGGAAAAGAAAUCAACCGAGAUUCCCCCAGUAGCGGCGAGCGAACGGGGAGCAGCCCAGAGUCUGAAUCAGCUUGUGUGUUAGUGGAACGGUCUGGAAAGUCCGACGGUACAGGGUGAUAGUCCCGUACACCAAAAUGCACAGGCUGUGAACUCGAAGAGUAGGGCGGGACACGUGGUAUCCUGUCUGAAUAUGGGGGGGACCAUCCUCCAAGGCUAAAUACUCCUGACUGACCGAUAGUGAACCAGUACCGUGAGGGAAAGGCGAAAAGAACCCCGGCGAGGGGAGUGAAAAAGAACCUGAAACCGUGUACGUACAAGCAGUGGGAGCACCUUCGGGUGUGACUGCGUACCUUUUGUAUAAUGGGUCAGCGACUUAUAUUCUGUAGCAAGGUUAACCGUAUAGGGGAGCCGCAGGGAAACCGAGUCUUAACUGGGCGUUAAGUUGCAGGGUAUAGACCCGAAACCCGGUGAUCUAGCCAUGGGCAGGUUGAAGGUUGGGUAACACUAACUGGAGGACCGAACCGACUAAUGUUGAAAAAUUAGCGGAUGACUUGUGGCUGGGGGUGAAAGGCCAAUCAAACCGGGAGAUAGCUGGUUCUCCCCGAAAGCUAUUUAGGUAGCGCCUCGUGAACUCAUCUUCGGGGGUAGAGCACUGUUUCGGCUAGGGGGUCAUCCCGACUUACCAACCCGAUGCAAACUACGAAUACCGAAGAAUGUUAUCACGGGAGACACACGGCGGGUGCUAACGUCCGUCGUGAAGAGGGAAACAACCCAGACCGCCAGCUAAGGUCCCAAAGUCAUGGUUAAGUGGGAAACGAUGUGGGAAGGCACAGACAGCCAGGAUGUUGGCUUAGAAGCAGCCAUCAUUUAAAGAAAGCGUAAUAGCUCACUGGUCGAGUCGGCCUGCGCGGAAGAUGUAACGGGGCUAAACCAUGCACCGAAGCUGCGGCAGCGACACUAUGUGUUGUUGGGUAGGGGAGCGUUCUGUAAGCCUGCGAAGGUGACCUGUGAGGGUUGCUGGAGGUAUCAGAAGUGCGAAUGCUGACAUAAGUAACGAUAAAGCGGGUGAAAAGCCCGCUCGCCGGAAGACCAAGGGUUCCUGUCCAACGUUAAUCGGGGCAGGGUGAGUCGACCCCUAAGGCGAGGCCGAAAGGCGUAGUCGAUGGGAAACAGGUUAAUAUUCCUGUACUUGGUGUUACUGCGAAGGGGGGGACGGAGAAGGCUAUGUUAGCCGGGCGACGGUUGUCCCGGUUUAAGCAUGUAGGCUGGUUAUCCAGGCAAAUCCGGAUAAUCAAGGCUGAGGUGUGAUGACGAGGCACUACGGUGCUGAAGUAACAAAUGCCCUGCUUCCAGGAAAAGCCUCUAAGCAUCAGGUAACAUCAAAUCGUACCCCAAACCGACACAGGUGGUCAGGUAGAGAAUACCAAGGCGCUUGAGAGAACUCGGGUGAAGGAACUAGGCAAAAUGGUGCCGUAACUUCGGGAGAAGGCACGCUGGUGUGUAGGUGAAGCCCCUGCGGGUGGAGCUGAGACCAGUCGAAGAUACCAGCUGGCUGCAACUGUUUAUUAAAAACACAGCACUGUGCAAACACGAAAGUGGACGUAUACGGUGUGACGCCUGCCCGGUGCCGGAAGGUUAAUUGAUGGGGUUAUCCGUAAGGAGAAGCUCUUGAUCGAAGCCCCGGUAAACGGCGGCCGUAACUAUAACGGUCCUAAGGUAGCGAAAUUCCUUGUCGGGUAAGUUCCGACCUGCACGAAUGGCGUAAUGAUGGCCAGGCUGUCUCCACCCGAGACUCAGUGAAAUUGAACUCGCUGUGAAGAUGCAGUGUACCCGCGGCAAGACGGAAAGACCCCGUGAACCUUUACUAUAGCUUGACACUGAACAUUGAGCCUUGAUGUGUAGGAUAGGUGGGAGGCUUUGAAGCGUGGACGCCAGUCUGCGUGGAGCCAACCUUGAAAUACCACCCUUUAAUGUUUGAUGUUCUAACGUUGGCCCCUUACCGGGGUUGCGGACAGUGUCUGGUGGGUAGUUUGACUGGGGCGGUCUCCUCCCAAAGCGUAACGGAGGAGCACGAAGGUUAGCUAAUCCUGGUCGGACAUCAGGAGGUUAGUGCAAUGGCAUAAGCUAGCUUGACUGCGAGCGUGACGGCGCGAGCAGGUGCGAAAGCAGGUCAUAGUGAUCCGGUGGUUCUGAAUGGAAGGGCCAUCGCUCAACGGAUAAAAGGUACUCCGGGGAUAACAGGCUGAUACCGCCCAAGAGUUCAUAUCGACGGCGGUGUUUGGCACCUCGAUGUCGGCUCAUCACAUCCUGGGGCUGAAGUAGGUCCCAAGGGUAUGGCUGUUCGCCAUUUAAAGUGGUACGCGAGCUGGGUUUAGAACGUCGUGAGACAGUUCGGUCCCUAUCUGCCGUGGGCGCUGGAGAAUUGAGGGGGGGCUGCUCCUAGUACGAGAGGACCGGAGUGGACGCAUCACUGGUGUUCGGGUUGUCAUGCCAAUGGCACUGCCCGGUAGCUAAAUGCGGAAGAGAUAAGUGCUGAAAGCAUCUAAGCACGAAACUUGCCCCGAGAUGAGUUCUCCCUGAGACUUUAAGUCUCCUGAAGGAACGUUAAAGACGAUGACGUUGAUAGGCCGGGUGUGUAAGCGCAGCGAUGCGUUGAGCUAACCGGUACUAAUGAACCGUGAGGCUUAACCUU